UGGGGAAUAUUGCACAAUGGGGGGAACCCUGAUGCAGCGACGCCGCGUGAGCGAAGAAGGUUUUCGAAUCGUAAAGCUCUGUCCUAUGGGAAGAUAAUGACGGUACCAUAGAAGAAAGCCCCGGCUAACUACGUGCCAGCAGCCGCGGUAAUACGUAGGGGGCGAGCGUUGUCCGGAAUCACUGGGCGUAAAGGGUUCGCAGGCGGCCAGACAAGUCAGUUGUAAAAGGCUAAGGCUCAACCUUAGUAAGCAUCUGAAACUGUUUGGCUUGAGUAGUGGAUAGGCAAGUGGAAUUCCUAGUGUAGCGGUGAAAUGCGUAGAUAUUAGGAGGAAUACCGGUGGCGAAGGCGACUUGCUGGACACAAACUGACGCUGAGGAACGAAAGCGUGGGGAGCAAACA
RNAcentral lists this ribosomal RNA (401 nucleotides) under uncultured Eubacteriales bacterium. RNAcentral describes it as "bacterial SSU rRNA". It matches the Rfam family "Bacterial small subunit ribosomal RNA", at positions 355 to 774 of the family's 1533-position model. Lineage: Bacteria; Bacillati; Bacillota; Clostridia; Eubacteriales. The record is from RNAcentral.